RNAcentral lists this transfer RNA (73 nucleotides) under Stegodyphus mimosarum. It matches the Rfam family "tRNA". Rfam says of the family: Transfer RNA (tRNA) molecules are approximately 80 nucleotides in length. Their secondary structure includes four short double-helical elements and three loops (D, anti-codon, and T loops). Further hydrogen bonds mediate the characteristic L-shaped molecular structure. tRNAs have two regions of fundamental functional importance: the anti-codon, which is responsible for specific mRNA codon recognition, and the 3' end, to which the tRNAs corresponding amino acid is attached (by aminoacyl-tRNA synthetases). tRNAs cope with the degeneracy of the genetic code in two manners: having more than one tRNA (with a specific anti-codon) for a particular amino acid; and 'wobble' base-pairing, i.e. permitting non-standard base-pairing at the 3rd anti-codon position. The record is from Rfam by way of RNAcentral. Lineage: Eukaryota; Metazoa; Arthropoda; Arachnida; Araneae; Eresidae.
GCUUUCUUGGUGUAGUGGUCAGCACACUCGACGUGUAACCGAGAGGUCCGUGGUUCGAUUCUUGGCGAAGGCG